RNAcentral lists this ribosomal RNA (526 nucleotides) under Bacillus subtilis. RNAcentral's name for it is "bacterial SSU rRNA". It matches the Rfam family "Bacterial small subunit ribosomal RNA", at positions 376 to 892 of the family's 1533-position model. The record is from RNAcentral. Lineage: Bacteria; Bacillati; Bacillota; Bacilli; Caryophanales; Bacillaceae.
CGAAAGUCUGACGGAACAACGCCGCGUGAGUGAUGAAGGUUUUCGGAUCGUAAAGCUCUGUUGUUAGGGAAGAACAAGUGCCGUUCAAAUAGGGCGGCACCUUGACGGUACCUAACCAGAAAGCCACGGCUAACUACGUGCCAGCAGCCGCGGUAAUACGUAGGUGGCAAGCGUUGUCCGGAAUUAUUGGGCGUAAAGGGCUCGCAGGCGGUUUCUUAAGUCUGAUGUGAAAGCCCCCGGCUCAACCGGGGAGGGUCAUUGGAAACUGGGGAACUUGAGUGCAGAAGAGGAGAGUGGAAUUCCACGUGUAGCGGUGAAAUGCGUAGAGAUGUGGAGGAACACCAGUGGCGAAGGCGACUCUCUGGUCUGUAACUGACGCUGAGGAGCGAAAGCGUGGGGAGCGAACAGGAUUAGAUACCCUGGUAGUCCACGCCGUAAACGAUGAGUGCUAAGUGUUAGGGGGUUUCCGCCCCUUAGUGCUGCAGCUAACGCAUUAAGCACUCCGCCUGGGGAGUACGGUCGCAAG